RNAcentral lists this long non-coding RNA (241 nucleotides) under Elaeis guineensis (African oil palm). Its description in RNAcentral is "long non-coding RNA (EGUI_LNC036737)". The record is from RNAcentral. Lineage: Eukaryota; Viridiplantae; Streptophyta; Magnoliopsida; Arecales; Arecaceae.
AGCUUCAGAUCGGCCUGGAUCUGACUUUGGAUUGGCCUUUCUUUGGGCUCAGGUCGGCCUAGAUUUGAGCUCGAGUCAGUCUGGAUCUAGACUCAGAUCGGCCUGGAUCAAGCUUCGGAUUCGUCUAGAUCUGACUUUGGAUUGGCCUUGCUCUGGGCUUGGGUCGAUUUGGAUCAACCAUGUCGGAGAUGGACGCAUGAGCAGGGGGGGCGACAUGUUGUCUGCGAGCAACUUCGGCAUC